GUGGCUAUAGCUCAGCACGGUAGAGCACCAGAUUGUGGAUCUGGCUGUCGCGGGUUCAAAUCCCGCUAGCCACCCCA
This 77-nucleotide transfer RNA is filed under the name Chloroflexota bacterium. RNAcentral describes it as "Chloroflexi bacterium (soil metagenome) tRNA-His". It matches the Rfam family "tRNA". From Rfam's summary of the family: Transfer RNA (tRNA) molecules are approximately 80 nucleotides in length. Their secondary structure includes four short double-helical elements and three loops (D, anti-codon, and T loops). Further hydrogen bonds mediate the characteristic L-shaped molecular structure. tRNAs have two regions of fundamental functional importance: the anti-codon, which is responsible for specific mRNA codon recognition, and the 3' end, to which the tRNAs corresponding amino acid is attached (by aminoacyl-tRNA synthetases). tRNAs cope with the degeneracy of the genetic code in two manners: having more than one tRNA (with a specific anti-codon) for a particular amino acid; and 'wobble' base-pairing, i.e. permitting non-standard base-pairing at the 3rd anti-codon position. RNAcentral also lists the same sequence under 3 other names. The record is from RNAcentral. Lineage: Bacteria; Bacillati; Chloroflexota.